CGACCUGAGCUCAGGCAAGAUUACGGACUGAACUUAAGCAUAUCAUUAAGUCCAGGAAAAGAAACUAACCAGGAUGCGCUUAGUAACGGCGAGCGAACCGCGCAAAGCCCAACUUGAAA
This 119-nucleotide ribosomal RNA is filed under the name Tetranephris brasiliensis. RNAcentral describes it as "partial 28S ribosomal RNA". It matches the Rfam family "Eukaryotic large subunit ribosomal RNA", at positions 1 to 119 of the family's 3401-position model. The record is from RNAcentral. Lineage: Eukaryota; Viridiplantae; Chlorophyta; Chlorophyceae; Sphaeropleales; Scenedesmaceae.